RNAcentral lists this ribosomal RNA (468 nucleotides) under uncultured bacterium. Its description in RNAcentral is "partial 16S ribosomal RNA". It matches the Rfam family "Bacterial small subunit ribosomal RNA", at positions 28 to 507 of the family's 1533-position model. The record is from RNAcentral.
GAUGAACGCUGGCGGCGUGCCUAAUACAUGCAAGUCGAACGGACAGGCCCUGCUCUUGCGGGGCGCUCGUGUGGCGAACGGGUGUGUAUAACGCGAGUAACCUGCACCUGUCUUUGGGAUAACUCCAGGAAACUGGGGCUAAUAUCGGAUAGGAGAUCCUGCUGCAUGGUGGGGGUUGGAAAGUUUCGGCGGUUGGGGAUGGUCUCGAGGCUUAUCCGCUUGUUGGUGGGGUAGUGGCUUUCCAAGGUUAUGAAGGGUAGCCGGCCUGAGAGGGUGACCGGCGACAUGAGGACUGAGAGACGGCGCAGAAGCCUACGGGAGGCAGCAGGGGAGAGUAUUGCGGAGUGAGCGGGAGCCAGAUGCAGCGGCGCCGCGUGCGUGAUGACGGCCUUCGGGUUAUGAACCGCUUUCUCCUGUGACGAGGCGUGAGUGACGGUAAUGAGUAAAGAAGCACCGGCUAACUACGUG